CCGUAGGGGACCUGCGGAAGGAUCAUUA
Molecule: ribosomal RNA, 28 nt
Filed under: uncultured Cortinarius
Lineage: Eukaryota; Fungi; Basidiomycota; Agaricomycetes; Agaricales; Cortinariaceae
Description: partial 18S ribosomal RNA
Source: RNAcentral